CAGACUUCACACACCUAUGAGAACAUUAUGAAGGACUCUCAGGCAUUCAGUUUCCUCACAACAUUUUCCUUCACUGUUAAACCAAGUGCCAAUAUAUAGAGCUAAAAUAACUCUGAACAGACUGUAAUAGUAUUUGAACAGUGUAAUGUCUAUUCAUUUCAAAAUCUGUGAAUGCAGAUUUCUAAACUAUAUAUCACAGCCAAAACUCAAAAUAU
Long non-coding RNA from Maniola jurtina (meadow brown), 215 nucleotides. RefSeq lists it as uncharacterized. The transcript is spliced from 2 exons. The record is from RefSeq and is a predicted model, not a curated record. NCBI's taxonomy places the organism in Eukaryota, Metazoa, Arthropoda, Insecta, Lepidoptera, Nymphalidae.